CCACCUCUUGAAGGCUUCUCCUUUCCCUGCUCUUCAAUGUCCUCACUAUAAGUGGGUGACGCACUCUGAGCAGCAGCAGGUGCUGUACCUAUCAACAACACGUGGUGGUGCUACUGCUGACUGGAAGCUGGGGUUUGGAUUAAAGAGCAGCGGAACUUGAGCCAGAUCAACAGGACCAGGCAGGCACCACGGCAGCUGCUGUGAUCGCCCAGGAGGAGAGGAAAGACAGCCGGAAUAGGAGCCAUGCUGGCCCAACUUGUACUUAAGGCUGCUCCUGGCGGACAGUGUUCCGAGCUGACAGAGCACAAGACUCUGGCGAGAUGAAAGGAGGAGGACUCUGUGUUUACAUCAAUGAUGCUUGGUGCUCAAGUGCAAGCAAAGUGGGUGGACACUGUUUCCAGAUGUCAGAUUUUUUUCCCCUUGUAACUGAGAGUCUCGUCAGAAACAGGUUUAAUUAUAAAGCCUUGUAGGCUACUGUGUGAUUAAUGCUGUUUAGGCAUGUGCACUUUAGGACUGUUUUCGUCCUUCAAGUUACAAAAGGGAAUUAAGACUAAGUCUAAAACAUUAUGACCAACAACAACAGCAGGAAUCUAACACUGUAACAUCAAACAACACGUAACAUCAAGCAACUUGUGUUUUCAUAUGCUUACAAGCUGAACUGAAGGAAGAUUCUUCGUGACAUCAUGCUAAAUUACCUUUUAGUAAUUUAUCUAGCCUCAACCCAAAUAUAACACAGGAAAAGUAAUGUUUUCACCUUGUGGUUCAGAUAGCCAGAGGACAAGUUGCACUGGAAGGGAAGUUGAUUUUUCUGUGUGGGCAGUUCGGAUGUUUGUAUGUGCUUGGUCCCAUGCACAGUUUGACCAGUGAAUCCUCUUGUGGAGCUUCUUCAGCCAUUGUCAGUCCCACAGUGCGACUCGGCUUGAGUCGUUUCUCUCAGCAGGCGGAUAACAUCACGCACACCGACUCUGCUGGGUGUGCUGUAGCGGCUUUCAGAGUUGGACAGUUAUGACUUUUCUAACUUUGUCAUGUGAAAAUGCUGGAUGUCAGCCUUUAACACGUUCUGUGCGGCUUGGGAUUCAGUUGAUUCUCUGAGAAUCAACUGUUGUCUGAAGAGAAGCUUGGACUGCAGAGCCAGAAGCGACACACGCAGGAAAGGACAGAGGACAAGACACUAGGUACCUGAACAAGAAGUUUCCUCUUGUUUUAAAGUCUUCUGUAAAGGGGGGGUGAUGUCAUCGGUGUGACCAAGAUCUAUUCUGUCUUUAUUACUUUCCUAAAGAAUUAUUAAAGUAUUUGUUACCAAUUGAA
This is a long non-coding RNA of Siniperca chuatsi (mandarin fish), 1308 nucleotides long. RefSeq lists it as uncharacterized. Lineage: Eukaryota; Metazoa; Chordata; Actinopteri; Centrarchiformes; Sinipercidae. The transcript is spliced from 2 exons. The record is from RefSeq and is a predicted model, not a curated record.